Mus musculus (house mouse) is the source of this 2918-nucleotide long non-coding RNA. RefSeq annotates it as predicted gene, 52525. The transcript is spliced from 3 exons. The record is from RefSeq and is a predicted model, not a curated record. Lineage: Eukaryota; Metazoa; Chordata; Mammalia; Rodentia; Muridae.
GGCAGCCCUUUCCACUACGUAAGGAGUAGUAGGUACCAUCUAUGAGCCAGGUACCAUGCCCUCAUCACACACCAAAUCUGCUGGCCCUGACCUUGGACUUGCCAGCCUCCAGAACUGAAACUGCUCCUGGAGAGGCCUCAGAGAAACUGAACAUCUACUGCCUUCCUAACCAGAGUGCGGUAGCAACCUCAGGACCGCAAAUACACCCUCGAGCAGGUGUGUGUGUAUGUCUAGGAGCACUGGGCUGUGUGAACAGGUGCCCAGGGGGCCAGAAUGGGCAGCCUAUUUGGAGCUGGAGUUCCAGGUUCUGACUGACCAGCAUGGGGCACCUGGGAACUGACUCCAGUCCUCUGCAAGAGCAGCAAGCGUUCUUAAAUGCUAAACCAUCUCUCCUGCCCCAUACCUAUGAUUUGUGACAACGGCUCUAAUCAAAUGUGGAGCUCAACAAUUCUGCUAAGCUGGCUGGCUAAUGAGCUCCCAGGAUCCACCUAUGAGCCCCACCCACCUCAGCACCGGGAUGACAACCGUUCAACUGCAGCUUUCAUCUGGGUACUGGGGAUCAGAACUCAGGCUCUCUCACCCUGCAGGCACUUUACUGAGUGGGCCAUCUCCCUAGUGCUACCCCUCCCUUUUUUUGAGAUAACUCAUUCUAUAGUCUAGGCAGACUUAGAACUCAGGGCAAUCCUCCUGUUUCAGCUUUUCAAGUGCUUUUACAAAAACCAAUCAACCAAAUAAACAAAACUAUGUUUAUAGCACAUUUUUCAGAAGAUAUUUUUGGAUAAAAUCUGCUAAACUGGUAUACUGGCUAGUUUUGUGUCAACUUGUCACAGCUGGAGUUAUCACAGAGAAAGGAGCUUCAGUUGAGGAAAUGCCUCCAUGAGAUCCAGCUGUAAGGCAUUUUCUCAAUUAGUGAUCAAGGGGGAAAGGCCCCUUGUGGGUGGGACCAUCUCUGGGCUGGUAGUUUUGGUUCUAUAAGAGAGCAGGCUGAGCAAGCCAGGGGAGGCAAGCCAGUAAGGAAUAUCCCUCCAUGGCUCUGCAUCAGCUCCUGCUUUCUGACCUGCCUGAGUUCCAGUCCUGACUUCCUUGGUGAUGAACAGCAGUAUGGAAGUGUAAGCCAAAUAAACCCUUUCCUCCCCAACUUGCUUCUUGGUCAUGAUGAUUGUGCAGGAAUAGAAACCGUGACUGAGACAACUGGUGAUACCUGACAUCUGGCAACAGAGCUUUCAGGUUUGACUCUAUCAAUGGAAACAUUUAUUCACCGAACGUAUUGACUGAGAUGCAUGUAUGAGGAGAUCCAAGACGGUCAGUGACAGUGAAAAACUGGACAACCAAACAUCCAUCCAUCCCGUAUUACUCAUCACAUCAGAUAAAUCAUGGUCAAACACACACUGCAAUGCUGCGCAGCCAUGGAAACAGGAGCCCUCUGCAUGCACUAGUGUGACAAGAUGCCCUGCCUUGGUAAAUGAGAAGCAUGCGGUGGAACCCUCUCUUCCUGGCAGUACUCACACCCAGAACUUCACACAUGCUAGCUGAGCCCCCUCCCACCAAGCACACCUCAGGGCUACCCCCAUGUGCUUUUAAAACCUGAUGUGCUUGCCGUCCGUGCAUCUAAACACUUGGGUACCUGGAUGUAUUUGUUUGGAUGAAUACACUCACAGGUGCAGGGAUGCAGCUGAAAGGACUUACAAAGUUGCUCACAGAGACGCUUUAUAGGAGAUGCUUUGGGUAAAUCCGAAUGAUUUCAUACAUUUCACACAGAACUUGCUAUGUACAUGCAGACUAGCUGGCUUUGAACUUGUGCAGUUCCCUGUGGCUACGGGGGCUGGGAUUAUAUGCAUUGCCACCAUAUCUGGCCUUAUGUUUGAUUUUAUAUUUUGCUGUAAUAUUUACUUUUAUUUCUAUUUUUUUUAAAGAAAGAAGUAAAACAUUAUUAUUAAAAACUUCUGUGGGACUAGAGCUGGCUCAGUGGUUAAGAGCAUUGGCUGCUCUUGCCUGAGUUUGGUUUCCAGGACUCAAAGAGUGGCUCACAACCAUCUCUAACUCUAGUUAUAGGGAAUCCAAUACCCUUCUCUGUCCUCUGAGGGCACUAGGCACGCACAUAGUGUAUAUACAUUCAUGUAGAAAAAAAUCAUAAAUACAUAUAUGAAUUUUUGUAUACACACACACACACACACACACACACAUAACAAAAUAAACCAAACCUAAAACACAUGCACACACAAAGCUGCCAGGCGUAGUGGCUCCCACCUGUAAUCCCAGUACUUGGGGGCAGGCCUGAAGCAGGGAGAUUGCAGUGAAUUUAAGGCCAGCUUGAACUAUCUAGUGAGAUUCCAUCUAAACACAAACAGGGCUGUUGAGAUAGCCCAGUAGAUAAAUAAAGUCUGAUAACCUUUUUGAUCCCUGGACCCACAUGUUGGAGAGAGAGAAAUGACUCCUAUGAUUUGCAUCUGACCUCAGUGUGCACAUCUCACCCCACACAUUAAACAAGCAAACCAACAAAUGUAUUUUAAAAGCAAACAAAAUAAACUAACUUGGGCUGGCAAUAGAGCUCAGUGGCACCGUGCCUGCCUAGCAUGCGUAAGACCUUGGAUUGGAUUCCAAGCAAACACACCACAUACACACACACAUACACACACACACACACACACACACACACACACACACACACACCAAACAAAACCAGACUAACUUUAUCACAAAUGCUAUAACUAUCAUGCCUACACCAAAGUAAAGGCCUCUCUCCUAAACCUAGCAGAAGUCAUUCUAUAAUAGAAAGACUUUAGAUAUGUUCUUAUACAGCUUAUUGUCUGAAUGCAUUUCUACCUUUUAAGGAAGCAUAAAGAGCUUGCUUGCUCUCUCUCUCUCUCUCUCUGUGUGUGUGUGUCUCUCUCUCUCCUUCCAAGUACAAGUUCCUCCUU